This 478-nucleotide ribosomal RNA is filed under the name Fusarium proliferatum. Its description in RNAcentral is "eukaryotic LSU rRNA". The stretch from base 136 to 289 matches the Rfam family "5.8S ribosomal RNA". The record is from RNAcentral. Lineage: Eukaryota; Fungi; Ascomycota; Sordariomycetes; Hypocreales; Nectriaceae.
CUCCCAAACCCCUGUGAACAUCCAAUUGUUGCCUCGGCGGAUCAGCCCGCUCCCGGUAAAACGGGACGGCCCGCCAGAGGACCCCUAAACUCUGUUUCUAUAUGUAACUUCUGAGUAAAACCAUAAAUAAAUCAAAACUUUCAACAACGGAUCUCUUGGUUCUGGCAUCGAUGAAGAACGCAGCAAAAUGCGAUAAGUAAUGUGAAUUGCAGAAUUCAGUGAAUCAUCGAAUCUUUGAACGCACAUUGCGCCCGCCAGUAUUCUGGCGGGCAUGCCUGUUCGAGCGUCAUUUCAACCCUCAAGCCCUCGGGUUUGGUGUUGGGGAUCGGCGAGCCCUUGCGGCAAGCCGGCCCCGAAAUCUAGUGGCGGUCUCGCUGCAGCUUCCAUUGCGUAGUAGUAAAACCCUCGCAACUGGUACGCGGCGCGGCCAAGCCGUUAAACCCCCAACUUCUGAAUGUGACCUCGGAUCAGGUAGGAA